UACAGAGGUCCCAAGCGUUGUUCGGAUUCACUGGGCGUAAAGGGUGCGUAGGUGGUGAGGUAAGUCGGAUGUGAAAUCUCCGGGCUCAACCCGGAAAUGGCAUUGGAAACUACCUUGCUAGAGGGUUUGAGGGGGGAUUGGAAUACUUGGUGUAGCAGUGAAAUGCGUAGAUAUCAAGUGGAACACCAGUGGCGAAGGCGAAUCCCUGGAAAAUACCUGACACUGAGGCACGAAAGCUAGGGGAGCAAACAGG
This 253-nucleotide ribosomal RNA is filed under the name uncultured bacterium. RNAcentral describes it as "partial 16S ribosomal RNA". It matches the Rfam family "Bacterial small subunit ribosomal RNA", at positions 524 to 776 of the family's 1533-position model. The record is from RNAcentral.